Molecule: long non-coding RNA, 651 nt
Filed under: Chinchilla lanigera (long-tailed chinchilla)
Lineage: Eukaryota; Metazoa; Chordata; Mammalia; Rodentia; Chinchillidae
Description: lncRNA (ENSCLAG00000023246.1)
Source: RNAcentral
UCCCGGUGAAUGACCCCAAAAGUAAUCUGGGGCCAGGGUGUCUGCCAGCCUCCCUCAAAAGUGUCUCAGAGCCUGAGCAGCACCCCCAGUUUCAUUUUUUUAACAACCUUAGGAACUGGGUGUCCAUAAAUGCAUCAUUAAUUUGGGGGAAAAAAAUUUUUGGCCUUCACUUACAUCAUCUCUUGUGGGAAGAAUUCCUCUAUUUUUAUCCUGGGUGCAAACUUUCCUGCCCUCUGUGAGAUGUCCUUGUUGCCCUUAAGCUCCUUUAUACUCUUCUCUUCAUACCCCCUUACACACACACAUCUGGGUGUGGAAGAGGUGAGUGCUGGAGAAGGAGCUAGUGCAAAUACCAAAGACGGGGAGGCAACUGCAGUACCCUCACACCAACGCAGUGGGAAGCCGGCACUGUGGGGAGGGGCGUGCCAGCAGGUCCUGGCUGCCUGCCUGGUUCAAGUCCUGGGCCUCCUGUUCCCUGGCUGUGUGAGCUGGAGGCAGUGCCUCGCUGGGAAGCCCCGUGCAAGCAUGGAUGAUUGUCCUUAUUAUAGAAGGCAGAAAGGUCCUUGGAACCUCUACCCUGCAUGCAACAAGGAGGCCUUGGUCCUUUCAUCAGCUUGGGCAUGUCUAUACUGGUGCCCAUCACUGGCCAUUUAA